UACGUAGGGUACAAGCGUUAAUCGGAAUUACUGGGCGUAAAGCGUGCGCAGGCGGUUUUGUAAGUCUGUCGUGAAAGCCCCGGGCUCAACCUGGGAAUUGCAUUGGAGACUGCAAGGCUAGAAUCUGGCAGAGGGGGGUAGAAUUCCACGUGUAGCAGUGAAAUGCGUAGAGAUGUGGAGGAACACCGAUGGCGAAGGCAGCCCCCUGGGUCAAGAUUGACGCUCAUGCACGAAAGCGUGGGGAGCAAACAGG
RNAcentral lists this ribosomal RNA (253 nucleotides) under uncultured bacterium. RNAcentral describes it as "partial 16S ribosomal RNA". It matches the Rfam family "Bacterial small subunit ribosomal RNA", at positions 524 to 776 of the family's 1533-position model. The record is from RNAcentral.